CCUACGGGUGGCAGCAGUGAGGAAUAUUGGUCAAUGGGCGCGAGCCUGAACCAGCCAAGCCGCGUGAAGGAUGACUGCCCUACGGGUUGUAAACUUCUUUUAUAAAGGAAUAAAGUGAGGCACGUGUGCCUUUUUGUAUGUAUUUUAUGAAUAAGGAUCGGCUAACUCCGUGCCAGCAGCCGCGGUAAUACGGAGGAUCCGAGCGUUAUCCGGAUUUAUUGGGUUGAAAGGGUGCGUAGAUGGGUUGUUAAGUCAGAUGUGAAAGUUUUCGGCUCAACCCUAAAACUGCAAUUGAUACUGGCAGCCUUGAGUACAGUUGAGGUAGGCGGAAUUCGUGGUGUAGCGGUGAAAUGCUUAGAUAUCACGAAGAACUCCGAUUGCGAAGGCAGCCUACUAAACUGCCACUGACAUUGAUGCUCGAAAGUGUGGGUAUCAAACAGGAUUAGAUACCCUAGUAGUC
This 460-nucleotide ribosomal RNA is filed under the name uncultured bacterium. Its description in RNAcentral is "partial 16S ribosomal RNA". It matches the Rfam family "Bacterial small subunit ribosomal RNA", at positions 338 to 795 of the family's 1533-position model. The record is from RNAcentral.